Small nucleolar RNA from Crocodylus porosus (Australian saltwater crocodile), 93 nucleotides. Ensembl annotates it as small nucleolar RNA, C/D box 83A. Its record names the gene SNORD83A. The record is from Ensembl. Lineage: Eukaryota; Metazoa; Chordata; Crocodylia; Crocodylidae.
CUUGUUCUGUGAUGAGGUCAUGGAAUACACGCUGGGCACAGCGUCUGAUACCUGUGAGGAUUCAUUCCAUGCUGCCUUCCUUCUGAGAACAGU